This is a long non-coding RNA of Corapipo altera (White-ruffed manakin), 96 nucleotides long. RefSeq lists it as uncharacterized. The record is from RefSeq and is a predicted model, not a curated record. Lineage: Eukaryota; Metazoa; Chordata; Aves; Passeriformes; Pipridae. The transcript is spliced from 3 exons.
UCCCUUUCCCUUUGUGAAUCAUCAUCAAUCAUCAUGGCUAGGCUUCGUGAACGAAGAUUUGGGGAGGGCUCUACCCCCAUUUGCUACAAGCGCACU